RNAcentral lists this ribosomal RNA (245 nucleotides) under uncultured Syntrophococcus sp. RNAcentral's name for it is "partial 16S ribosomal RNA". It matches the Rfam family "Bacterial small subunit ribosomal RNA", at positions 524 to 768 of the family's 1533-position model. Lineage: Bacteria; Bacillati; Bacillota; Clostridia; Lachnospirales; Lachnospiraceae. The record is from RNAcentral.
UACGUAGGGGGCAAGCGUUAUCCGGAUUUACUGGGUGUAAAGGGAGCGCAGACGGCUGUGUAAGUCUGAAGUGAAAACCUGAGGCUUAACCACAGGAUUGCUUUGGAAACUAUGCAGCUUGAGUACCGGAGGGGUAAGCGGAAUUCCUGGUGUAGCGGUGAAAUGCGUAGAUAUCAGGAAGAACACCGGUGGCGAAGGCGGCUUACUGGACGGUAACUGACGUUGAGGCUCGAAAGCGUGGGGAG